CGGGAUGUAGCCUAGUGGCUAAGGCGCCUGCUUUGGGAGCAGGAGAUCGCCAGUUCGAGUCUGGCCAUCCCGA
Molecule: transfer RNA, 73 nt
Filed under: Sediminispirochaeta smaragdinae DSM 11293
Lineage: Bacteria; Pseudomonadati; Spirochaetota; Spirochaetia; Spirochaetales; Spirochaetaceae
Also listed under: 1 other name
Description: tRNA-Pro (TGG) (tRNA-Pro-TGG-1-1)
Rfam family: tRNA
About the family: Transfer RNA (tRNA) molecules are approximately 80 nucleotides in length. Their secondary structure includes four short double-helical elements and three loops (D, anti-codon, and T loops).
Source: Rfam by way of RNAcentral